This 1538-nucleotide ribosomal RNA is filed under the name Klebsiella pneumoniae. RNAcentral describes it as "bacterial SSU rRNA". It matches the Rfam family "Bacterial small subunit ribosomal RNA". The record is from RNAcentral. Lineage: Bacteria; Pseudomonadati; Pseudomonadota; Gammaproteobacteria; Enterobacterales; Enterobacteriaceae.
AAAUUGAAGAGUUUGAUCAUGGCUCAGAUUGAACGCUGGCGGCAGGCCUAACACAUGCAAGUCGAGCGGUAGCACAGAGAGCUUGCUCUCGGGUGACGAGCGGCGGACGGGUGAGUAAUGUCUGGGAAACUGCCUGAUGGAGGGGGAUAACUACUGGAAACGGUAGCUAAUACCGCAUAACGUCGCAAGACCAAAGUGGGGGACCUUCGGGCCUCAUGCCAUCAGAUGUGCCCAGAUGGGAUUAGCUAGUAGGUGGGGUAAUGGCUCACCUAGGCGACGAUCCCUAGCUGGUCUGAGAGGAUGACCAGCCACACUGGAACUGAGACACGGUCCAGACUCCUACGGGAGGCAGCAGUGGGGAAUAUUGCACAAUGGGCGCAAGCCUGAUGCAGCCAUGCCGCGUGUGUGAAGAAGGCCUUCGGGUUGUAAAGCACUUUCAGCGGGGAGGAAGGCGGUGAGGUUAAUAACCUCAUCGAUUGACGUUACCCGCAGAAGAAGCACCGGCUAACUCCGUGCCAGCAGCCGCGGUAAUACGGAGGGUGCAAGCGUUAAUCGGAAUUACUGGGCGUAAAGCGCACGCAGGCGGUCUGUCAAGUCGGAUGUGAAAUCCCCGGGCUCAACCUGGGAACUGCAUUCGAAACUGGCAGGCUAGAGUCUUGUAGAGGGGGUAGAAUUCCAGGUGUAGCGUGAAAUGCGUAGAGAUCUGGAGGAAUACCGGUGGCGAAGGCGGCCCCCUGGACAAAGACUGACGCUCAGGUGCGAAAGCGUGGGGAGCAAACAGGAUUAGAUACCCUGGUAGUCCACGCCGUAAACGAUGUCGAUUUGGAGGUUGUGCCCUUGAGGCGUGGCUUCCGGAGCUAACGCGUUAAAUCGACCGCCUGGGGAGUACGGCCGCAAGGUUAAAACUCAAAUGAAUUGACGGGGGCCCGCACAAGCGGUGGAGCAUGUGGUUUAAUUCGAUGCAACGCGAAGAACCUUACCUGGUCUUGACAUCCACAGAACUUUCCAGAGAUGGAUUGGUGCCUUCGGGAACUGUGAGACAGGUGCUGCAUGGCUGUCGUCAGCUCGUGUUGUGAAAUGUUGGGUUAAGUCCCGCAACGAGCGCAACCCUUAUCCUUUGUUGCCAGCGGUUAGGCCGGGAACUCAAAGGAGACUGCCAGUGAUAAACUGGAGGAAGGUGGGGAUGACGUCAAGUCAUCAUGGCCCUUACGACCAGGGCUACACACGUGCUACAAUGGCAUAUACAAAGAGAAGCGACCUCGCGAGAGCAAGCGGACCUCAUAAAGUAUGUCGUAGUCCGGAUUGGAGUCUGCAACUCGACUCCAUGAAGUCGGAAUCGCUAGUAAUCGUAGAUCAGAAUGCUACGGUGAAUACGUUCCCGGGCCUUGUACACACCGCCCGUCACACCAUGGGAGUGGGUUGCAAAAGAAGUAGGUAGCUUAACCUUCGGGAGGGCGCUUACCACUUUGUGAUUCAUGACUGGGGUGAAGUCGUAACAAGGUAACCGUAGGGGAACCUGCGGUUGGAUCACCUCCUUA